UACGUAGGUGGCGAGCGUUGUCCGGAUUUACUGGGCGUAAAGGGAGCGUAGGCGGACUUUUAAGUGAGAUGUGAAAUACCCGGGCUCAGCUUGGGUGCUGCAUUUCAAACUGGAAGUCUAGAGUGCAGGAGAGGAGAAUGGAAUUCCUAGUGUAGCGGUGAAAUGCGUAGAGAUUAGGAAGAACACCAGUGGCGAAGGCGAUUCUCUGGACUGUAACUGACGCUGAGGCACGAAAGCGUGGGGAUCAAACAGGAUUAGAUA
Molecule: ribosomal RNA, 261 nt
Filed under: uncultured prokaryote
Description: partial 16S ribosomal RNA
Rfam family: Bacterial small subunit ribosomal RNA
Source: RNAcentral